GAAGAGUUUGAUCAUGGCUCAGAUUGAACGCUGGCGGCAGGCCUAACACAUGCAAGUCGAACGGUAACAGGAAGCAGCUUGCUGCUUUGCUGACGAGUGGCGGACGGGUGAGUAAUGUCUGGGAAACUGCCUGAUGGAGGGGGAUAACUACUGGAAACGGUGGCUAAUACCGCAUAACGUCGCAAGACCAAAGAGGGGGACCUUCGGGCCUCUUGCCAUCAGAUGUGCCCAGAUGGGAUUAGCUUGUUGGUGAGGUAACGGCUCACCAAGGCGACGAUCCCUAGCUGGUCUGAGAGGAUGACCAGCCACACUGGAACUGAGACACGGUCCAGACUCCUACGGGAGGCAGCAGUGGGGAAUAUUGCACAAUGGGCGCAAGCCUGAUGCAGCCAUGCCGCGUGUAUGAAGAAGGCCUUCGGGUUGUAAAGUACUUUCAGCGGGGAGGAAGGUGUUGUGGUUAAUAACCGCAGCAAUUGACGUUACCCGCAGAAGAAGCACCGGCUAACUCCGUGCCAGCAGCCGCGGUAAUACGGAGGGUGCAAGCGUUAAUCGGAAUUACUGGGCGUAAAGCGCACGCAGGCGGUCUGUCAAGUCGGAUGUGAAAUCCCCGGGCUCAACCUGGGAACUGCAUUCGAAACUGGCAGGCUUGAGUCUUGUAGAGGGGGGUAGAAUUCCAGGUGUAGCGGUGAAAUGCGUAGAGAUCUGGAGGAAUACCGGUGGCGAAGGCGGCCCCCUGGACAAAGACUGACGCUCAGGUGCGAAAGCGUGGGGAGCAAACAGGAUUAGAUACCCUGGUAGUCCACGCCGUAAACGAUGUCUACUUGGAGGUUGUGCCCUUGAGGCGUGGCUUCCGGAGCUAACGCGUUAAGUAGACCGCCUGGGGAGUACGGCCGCAAGGUUAAAACUCAAAUGAAUUGACGGGGGCCCGCACAAGCGGUGGAGCAUGUGGUUUAAUUCGAUGCAACGCGAAGAACCUUACCUGGUCUUGACAUCCACAGAACUUUCCAGAGAUGGAUUGGUGCCUUCGGGAACUGUGAGACAGGUGCUGCAUGGCUGUCGUCAGCUCGUGUUGUGAAAUGUUGGGUUAAG
This 1089-nucleotide ribosomal RNA is filed under the name Salmonella enterica. RNAcentral's name for it is "bacterial SSU rRNA". It matches the Rfam family "Bacterial small subunit ribosomal RNA", at positions 1 to 1084 of the family's 1533-position model. The record is from RNAcentral. Lineage: Bacteria; Pseudomonadati; Pseudomonadota; Gammaproteobacteria; Enterobacterales; Enterobacteriaceae.